UUCCGUAGGUGAACCUGCGGAAGGAUCAUUAAUGAAUUUUAGAGUGCUCUCUUCAUCAGAGAGGCUCGACCCUUCAUUUCCAACACUGUGAACUUUUAUAAAUUAGGCAAGUUGCGCAAGCAAUGAGCCUUCAAUUUUUUAAACACUACAAGUCUAAGAAUGUAACAAACCAAAAACAAAAAAAAACUUUCAACAACGGAUCUCUUGGCUCUCGCAUCGAUGAAGAACGCAGCGAAAUGUGAUAAGUAAUGUGAAUUGCAGAAUUCAGUGAAUCAUCGAAUCUUUGAACGCACCUUGCGCUCUCUGGUAUUCCGGAGAGCAUGCCUGUUUGAGUGUCAUGAACUCUUCAACCCACCUAUUCCUUGUUGAAUUGUGUGGUGCUUGGAUUCUGAGCGCUUGCUGGCCAUUACCUGCUUCGGCGGGGAAGGCGAAGCUCGUUCGUAAUACAUUAGCAACUCAAUUUCGAUAAUUCGGAUUGACUCGGCGUAAUAGACUAUUCGCUGAGGACACCAAGCAAUUGGUGGCCGAAUUUCGAGGUAGAAGCUUCUAACCUCAAUUUGUAGUCAAAUUUUAUUUUAAGAUUAGACCUCAAAUCAGGCAGGAUUACCCGCUGAACUUAAGCAUAUCAAUAAGCGGAGGAAAAGAAACUAACAAGGAUUCCCCUAGUAGCGGCGAGCGAAGCGGGAAGAGCUCAAAUUUGUAAUCUGGUACCUUUGGUGCCCGAGUUGUAAUCUCGAGAAGUGUUUUCCGCGCCAGACCGCAUACAAGUCUGUUGGAAUACAGCGUCAUAGUGGUGAGAACCCCGUAGAUGAUGCGGAUGCCUGGUGCUCUGUGAUACACUUUCGAAGAGUCGAGUUGUUUGGGAAUGCAGCUCAAAUUGGGUGGUAAAUUCCAUCUAAAGCUAAAUAUUGGCGAGAGACCGAUAGCGAACAAGUACCGUGAGGGAAAGAUGAAAAGCACUUUGGAAAGAGAGUUAACAGUACGUGAAAUUGUUGGAAGGGAAACGCUUGAAGUCAGACAUGCUAUUUGGAUUUAUUCAAUUCGCAGGCCAGCAUCAGUUUUUGGGGGCAGAAAAGGGUAGAAGGAAUGUGGCAACCCCGGUUGUGUUAUAGCCUUUUACUGGAUCUGUCCUUGGGGACUGAGGAACGCAGUACACUUUUUGCAAGUCUCUCGGGACUUUUUGUACUUAGGAUGCUGGUGGAACGGCUUUAAACGACCCGUCUUGAAACACGGACCAAGGAGUCUAACAUGCUUGCGAGUAUUUGGGUGUCAAACCCGGAUGCGCAAUGAAAGUGAAUGGAGGUGGGAACCGCAAGGUGCACCAUCGACCGAUCUGGAUUUUCUAAGAUGGAUUUGAGUAAGAGCACGUAUGUUGGGACCCGAAAGAUGGUGAACUAUGCCUGAAUAGGGCGAAGCCAGAGGAAACUCUGGUGGAGGCUCGUAGCGGUUCUGACGUGCAAAUCGAUCGUCAAAUUUGGGUAUAGGGGCGAAAGACUAAUCGAACCAUCUAGUAGCUGGUUCCUGCCGAAGUUUCCCUCAGGAUAGCAGAAACUCAUUAUCAGUUCUAUGAGGUAAAGCGAAUGAUUAGAGGCCUUGGGGUUGAAACAACCUUAACCUAUUCUCAAACUUUAAAUAUGUAGGAAGUCCUUGCUACUUAAUUGAGCGAGGACAUGCGAAUGAGAGUUUCUA
Molecule: small RNA, 1689 nt
Filed under: Colacogloea sp. AEG-8-20
Lineage: Eukaryota; Fungi; Basidiomycota; Microbotryomycetes; Colacogloeaceae
Description: eukaryotic LSU rRNA
Rfam family: Eukaryotic large subunit ribosomal RNA (bases 584-1689)
Source: RNAcentral